RNAcentral lists this ribosomal RNA (484 nucleotides) under uncultured bacterium. Its description in RNAcentral is "partial 16S ribosomal RNA". It matches the Rfam family "Bacterial small subunit ribosomal RNA", at positions 30 to 507 of the family's 1533-position model. The record is from RNAcentral.
AUUGAACGCUGGCGGCAGGCCUAACACAUGCAAGUCGAGCGGAUGAAGGGAGCUUGCUCCUGGAUUCAGCGGCGGACGGGUGAGUAAUGCCUAGGAAUCUGCCUGGUAGUGGGGGAUAACGUCCGGAAACGGGCGCUAAUACCGCAUACGUCCUGAGGGAGAAAGUGGGGGAUCUUCGGACCUCACGCUAUCAGAUGAGCCUAGGUCGGAUUAGCUAGUUGGUGGGGUAAAGGCCUACCAAGGCGACGAUCCGUAACUGGUCUGAGAGGAUGAUCAGUCACACUUGAACUUAGAAACGGUCCCGACUCCCAACGGAGGCAGCAGGUGGGAAUUUUGGACAAUGGGCGAAAGCCUGAUCCAGCCAAGCCGCGGGGUUGAAGGAGGGCUUCCGAUUGUUAAACCCUUUUAGUUGGGAGGAAGGGCAGUAAGGUUAAUCCUUGCUGGUUUGAAGGUACCAACAAGAAAAGCACCGGCUAACUUCGUG